CAAUAGCGUAUAUUAAAGUUGUUGCAGUUAAAAAGCUCGUAGUUGGAUUUCUGGUAGGGUGCCAAUGUCCGCCGCCGUGCGAGCGCAGCGGCGCCCUACCAUCCUUCUGUCAACGCCUCUCGACCUUCGCUGGUCGGUGGCGGGCCCAGAUAUUUUACCUUGAGAAAAUUAGAGUGUUUCAGGCAGGCUAGGCCGGAAUACAUUAGCAUGGAAUAAUAGAAUAGGACUAAGGUCUCUUUGUUGGUUUGAGGGACUGUAGUAAUGAUUAAUAGGGAUAGUUGGGGGCAUUAGUAUUUAAUUGUCAGAGGUGAAAUUCUCGGAUUUGUUAAAGACUAACUUAUGCGAAAGCAUUUGCCAAGGAUGUUUUCAUUAA
This 373-nucleotide ribosomal RNA is filed under the name uncultured eukaryote. Its description in RNAcentral is "partial 18S ribosomal RNA". It matches the Rfam family "Eukaryotic small subunit ribosomal RNA", at positions 592 to 976 of the family's 1831-position model. The record is from RNAcentral.